RNAcentral lists this long non-coding RNA (158 nucleotides) under Octopus sinensis (East Asian common octopus). Its description in RNAcentral is "uncharacterized LOC118765783, transcript variant X1". Lineage: Eukaryota; Metazoa; Mollusca; Cephalopoda; Octopoda; Octopodidae. The record is from RNAcentral.
UGUGUACGUCUUCUUGGCUUGCCAUGUGUGAUAGUCGUAAAUGAGCUUCACUGUUAUACAAGCUGUGUUAUUCAUUUCCAAUAUUCUGCCAAAACAUGCUUGGCCAUGGGGGAAUAUUUCCUUGUUUGGAAGCAGGUUAGCAUUAGCAAAGGAAGGAA